This is a long non-coding RNA of Sapajus apella (tufted capuchin), 514 nucleotides long. RefSeq lists it as uncharacterized. The transcript is spliced from 2 exons. The record is from RefSeq and is a predicted model, not a curated record. NCBI's taxonomy places the organism in Eukaryota, Metazoa, Chordata, Mammalia, Primates, Cebidae.
AACCCAGUAGGUUGAGGCUGCAGUGAGCUGUGAUCACUACUGCACUCCAGCCUGGGUGACAAAGUGAUACCCUGUAAAAAAAAAAUUCUUUUUCUGGGAAUACUGUCAUGAAUAUUUUUCUAGACUUAAAGUAUACUCAGCUUUUUUAUCUAAUUUCAGCUUAGUUUCAGGAGUGAAAAAGCUCUUUAUAUUUCAGCUGAUAGAUGAGAAAGUAACUGUGAGAAACAAUAUUAUAGUAACUCAUUUAACACAUAGCUGUUAACGAUCUGUGCUGGAACAAAUAGCAGCUUAUGGCCAGGUUGUAUUUUGACUCCAGGAGUUCAUUGAUGAAGUCAUGGGACACAGUUCCGAAAGCAUGCUGCCUGGAAGUGGGUCUGUUCCUAAGAAGUCACCUGAAGCUCCCUUUAGAACCUACCAGGCUUUCAUGUGAGCCCUGUACAAAUACUUCAUUGGUUUCAAAGAGGAACUUGCAGAAAUUGAGAAGUGCAUCAUCAAUAAUGGUAUUAAAUGUUCU